GGAUGUGAGGGCGAUCUGGUUGCGACAUCUGUCACCCCAUUGAUCGCCAGGGUUGAUUCGGCUGAUCUGGCUGGCUAGGCGGGUGUCCCCUUCCUCCCUCACCGCUCCAUGUGCGUCCCUCCCGAAGCUGCGCGCUCGGUCGAAGAGGACGACCAUCCCCGCUAGAGGAGGACCGGUCUUCGGUCAAGGGUAUACGAGUAGCUGCGCUCCCCUGCUAGAACCUCCAAACAAGCUCUCAAGGUCCAUUUGUAGGAGAACGUAGGGUAGUCAAGCUUCCAAGACUCCAGACACAUCCAAAUGAGGCGCUGCACGUGGCAAGUCUGCCUUUCU
Molecule: small nuclear RNA, 330 nt
Filed under: Bison bison bison
Lineage: Eukaryota; Metazoa; Chordata; Mammalia; Artiodactyla; Bovidae
Description: 7SK RNA (ENSBBBG00000023193.1)
Rfam family: 7SK RNA
About the family: 7SK was discovered as an abundant small nuclear RNA in the mid-70s but a possible function has only recently been suggested.
Source: RNAcentral